CAAUAGCGUAUAUUAAAGUUGUUGCAGUUAAAAGCUCGUAGUUGGAACGAUACGUUUGCAGAGCAGCCUCUUUUCUUAAGAGCGCGACGCGGACGCGGGUUCUUCGAGAACCUCUGUUACUUUGAGAAAAUAGAGUGUUUCAGGCGGGCCAGAGCUGAAAUAGUGUACCAUGGAAUAACGAAGUGGCUACCUUUCCGUUUCUUUGAUUUCGGUAAAGGCGGUGCGUGAUUGAUAGGAACAGUCGGGGUGAUUCUGUAUUGAACAGUCAGAGGUGAAAUUCUUAGAUUUGUUCAAGACGAACUAAUGCGAAAGCAUCUACCAAGGAUGUUUUCAUUAAUCAAGAACGAAAGUUAGGGGAUCCAAGAUGAUUAGAU
Molecule: ribosomal RNA, 374 nt
Filed under: uncultured eukaryote
Lineage: Eukaryota
Description: bacterial SSU rRNA
Rfam family: Eukaryotic small subunit ribosomal RNA
Source: RNAcentral